AGGGAAUAAGCCCGGGGCUGGGACCGUGCAAUCAGACCCCCUCCUGGCGAAGGCUCCGGUCCCUCCUGCCCAUCCAGGCUCAGGCUGCGGCAGCAGGGCAGAGGCGUGUUCGCUCCGGGUGGGGGUGGCUAAGCGAAAUGGCUGCCUCUUUAAUUCCCAGGGUGUGGUGCCCCCUGCGCCUCCCUACCUCGGCCCUGUCAGGAGGGACCAUCAUCACACAAAUGAAUGGAAAACUAGAAAGAAAUUCUAUGUAACGUGGGCAGCACUGGAUGGACGUCUGAUGGCUCGUCACUUCCGAAAGGUUGAGAGCCCUUGGCUGAGGCCGAUGAACGAGAGGGCAAGUGUAAAUCCUGUGUAACUGAACGCUCUCCUGCCUAGGCACACCUGCCGCCCCCGGGAGACGCCGCUGCAGAGGGUCCGGUGUGAGCGCAGGCAUCAGGCUCUGGAGCUCAGCGCCUGCCCGCAGCCUGGCCCUCCGACCGCGGCUGAGCGUCCGACACUGGCUCCUGGCCGGACGCCGGGAGGAGAAGAGACCGCGCACCAGUCCGCGGCCUGCUGCUGGCGGCGGGAGAAGGGGCCGCACACCCCACAGGCUCUUGGUUCUCAGUUGUUAAAUUUGAGUUGUUUUUGGUGAAAUGUUCCUUUUAGAGAGUUUUAGGUAGAAGCCCACACGUAGAGCGAAAAGCGUGUCAGUAAGAACCUGGCCUGAGAGUCCCUCUCCUAGAGGGGCUGCCGGGUCAAAUGUUGAAUGAAACACUGGGGGGUUAUCGUCAGAAUUUCAGUCCUGGCUCUUGCAUCACCCAAGCUGUGUUUCUGAGAACGUGCUAGUAUAGGUUGCCCUUGUUAUACUUAAUGCAAAUUAAACUUUUUAUUUUUAAAGAAA
Molecule: long non-coding RNA, 883 nt
Organism: Myotis davidii
Lineage: Eukaryota; Metazoa; Chordata; Mammalia; Chiroptera; Vespertilionidae
Exons: 2
Source: RefSeq, a predicted model, not a curated record